CACUUCUCUCAAGGGAUGCUGGUUCUCUUAAUGUUCUGUUUCAUGUUGUGGGUGUUAGUUACAAAGGUGAGCACAGUUUGUGAAAUUCAUUGACCU
Molecule: long non-coding RNA, 96 nt
Organism: Myotis brandtii (Brandt's bat)
Lineage: Eukaryota; Metazoa; Chordata; Mammalia; Chiroptera; Vespertilionidae
Exons: 2
Source: RefSeq, a predicted model, not a curated record